RNAcentral lists this long non-coding RNA (543 nucleotides) under Capsella grandiflora. Its description in RNAcentral is "long non-coding RNA (CGRA_LNC000483)". The record is from RNAcentral. Lineage: Eukaryota; Viridiplantae; Streptophyta; Magnoliopsida; Brassicales; Brassicaceae.
CAUGGCUUUGAACAAAACCUUGGAAAAUACCCAAGGCUGCUUAUAGAUAUGGGCAUACAAAGGUUUCAAUGAAAAACACCAAAAGGUUAUUAUUAAUAAUGCCAAACGAUUUUUUCAUUUUUGCAUCACCAAACAUUGUUUUACCUAUAUUUAGACCACUCUUGUUUUGCCUUUCAAGGAUUUUGCUUCACAUCCGGAAAAACAAAACACCAUCAAGAAUAGAACUCUCUUUCGUAACCAAAAACCGCAUAAUACUAUAAUAAGCACAACACGGUAUCAAACAAAACCGAACGUUUGCGAACGUCAAGCAAUAACAACCACACUUCUAUGGCAAUAUGGAUCACAAUCUUAACAAAAGACACAUUUAUAUAAUCUAAACCAAAAAGGUUCGCGAACAUCAAGCAAUAACAACCACAUUUCCAUGGCAAUAUUGAUCACAAUCUUAACAAAAAACACAUUUAUACGAUCUAAAGCAUAAACCAAGAAACUAUAUUUACAUAUAAGUGUGGAAACAACAACUUUCUAAAGGUACUUUAAAACCCG